UUAGUCAAACUCGACAAGACAUCGCAUCUCGUGCCUACGUAUCUCAUCUGGACAUGAGAAUCAUAGUUGCCGUAGUUCGGCUAAACUAUUCCCGUUAGUUUGUGUUUUUUAAGUGGACAACGUCACUGCGCAAUCUACCUGAUGCUCGACCUUUAGAGACUUACUCACCUGUAGUAGAAGGAGUUAACGUAUCCUUAAGAGGGAAUAAUGUUUGUUUGUGUUUUAGGAAAGCUCAAGCAAGAAAGGAAGUCUUAUACGAAGGAACCGUGCUACCUUAAUUGACAUGCAAACGAGACUACACGGAGUCUAACAAACCUAGGGGAUACAAUCACACCAUACAAGCACAUACAGC
RNAcentral lists this long non-coding RNA (352 nucleotides) under Lathyrus oleraceus (garden pea). RNAcentral's name for it is "Pisum sativum (pea) long non-coding RNA (PSAT_LNC021866)". Lineage: Eukaryota; Viridiplantae; Streptophyta; Magnoliopsida; Fabales; Fabaceae. The record is from RNAcentral.